UCCAGGCGCGUGGGAGGAUACUGCCAACGAGGUCCUUUGCCGCUCGUUAUCGCGCAUGCGCACUGCUCUCCGAUCAACUUAAAAAUUGAAAUCCAACCAAAGAAGGCAUAUUUGCUAUUGAAAGAGCUCAACUCAUGCCUCUGGAUGAUGGAUGGAAUUUGGAAGUUUGUCCUUCAAACACCACAAGAAAUUUCCAUGUAAGGUACCACGAGGGAGAAGAUUUGCUGUCUUGAAAGGCGAAGAAACUACUAAAAUAGUAAAUGUUAGAGUAUGAAGCUUGCUUUGUUUUUGUCCGUGAUGUGCCAGGUGAUCACUUACUCAAGAGCCAAUAUUAUUUGCUUACACAGAUUCCAGUACUGUAUCCUAA
Neoarius graeffei (lesser salmon catfish) is the source of this 367-nucleotide long non-coding RNA. RefSeq lists it as uncharacterized. The record is from RefSeq and is a predicted model, not a curated record. NCBI's taxonomy places the organism in Eukaryota, Metazoa, Chordata, Actinopteri, Siluriformes, Ariidae. The transcript is spliced from 3 exons.